Passer domesticus (house sparrow) is the source of this 1656-nucleotide long non-coding RNA. RefSeq lists it as uncharacterized. The transcript is spliced from 4 exons. The record is from RefSeq and is a predicted model, not a curated record. Lineage: Eukaryota; Metazoa; Chordata; Aves; Passeriformes; Passeridae.
AUUCAGCACCCCUUGCCUUGUCAUCACUUGCUCCCAUUUGGCUUUGUGUGCCCGGCUGUGGAAAGAGGCAAAGUGAGGUUUGUUCUUGAGCUGGAAAAUGGAAUUUCUUUUAUUUGUACAAAGUCUCUUGGCUCUCUCCCAGACUUCUCCUGGCAACAGAGUCAACCAAAUUAAUUUUUUCCAAGAAAAGAUCUACUAUGGUGUGAUGGCAGAUUAAAUCCAUAACAGGAAACAGUGAUAAUGCCCACUGUAGAGCCAUCUGGUGUAUAGGUCCCUAAGAAUGGUACAACUGAAAUGGGAGAAUGAAGAAAUGUAUUGGCUAUGACAAGAAGAAGUAAUUGCUUUUCCUCAAAGGAUCAGAUGUGGUAUAGUUGUUUGAAAAACAAUCUAAACAACAUUUUGUUCACCAUUGAUUUUAAAAGCAUUAAAAUUAGUUUUUAUGCAGCUAUACUCAUUAAGCUUUUAUGUAUACUGUGUAGGGUGAAUAGUUAAGAAGCAAUAAAGCAUUCUGCAGUAAAAUAUACUUUGCCAGUUGUCAGAAGAAAUAAAAUACAUAGAUUGAGAAUGUUUGCUUCCUGUAGAAUAUUGCGAUAUUUGCCAUGUUAAUUACAAUCCAAAUAAAGCCAUUUUAUUUGUGUAUUUUAAACAGUCUUGUAGCUGUAGAUGGCUAAUACAACUGUUAUUGAAAGUGUUGUGUUUGGGGGUUGUGUGUUCAUACUGAUGAGAAACAAUCAGCAGCUACAUAUAUCCCAACAAUUCUUGCAUUCUAAAAAUGUCUUCUCUUAGAAAUUGGUGUUCCAAAGUCUAAUUGUAAAUUUUAGCCUCAAAAAGAACAGAAAGUGCCAUGCUGUGCAAUUUUUUUUCUAUAAUCCCUUUAAUUCCUCAUGUCAGUAUCUGCAUUCAUACACAAAGUAGUUCCCCUAAUUUCACUGAAGUAGUUAACAAUUUAUUAAAAAAAGAGAUACUCUGGAAAACAGCAACAGCCCAAGGAAAGGAAACUUAUUUGGUUAUUACUUGGAAGAGCAUAACCUUUUAUUUUGUUUCUCAAAAAUGAAGAGAGGAGUAUAUGUACAGUACAACAACAUGCCAUCAGAGAGAAUAAUGCAUAUAAAAAUGAAUUCCUGUUAUUGUGUUCAGGUGUGUUUGUGAAUAAAAAAUGGAAUUUUGAAAAGUCAAUUAAAAUGCAUUUAAAUUCUUUAACAUCAGAAUUCUUUAAUGUGAAAAUUUUUUCUAGACAGUUUGUCAGUAUCACUGUAAGCACAGUGCUGUGAUCAGAACUGGUCUCCCCCACCUACAACUGUUAGAUGGCUCAGAAAUGCAUUACACCUUCCUGUCUCAAAUGAGGAGACCACUCUUGAAAACAUGGAAGUACUUAUAAAGUAAAUAACCUUUAAUUAAAUAUCAUUGUCUAGCAUUAAUCUUUAUAGCUCUGUUCCCUAUGGAAAUAAAAGUGGAUAUUCAAUUUGUUUUGAUUAUGCAUGAAUUUUAACAGAAGUGUUUCUUUCUAUAUUGCUGUGUUCUUCAAGAAAGCUGCAUAUUUGUGUCUGCAUAAGCCAUUAAGAAGAUGGUUCCUCAUUAAUGUGAAAUAAGAGUGACUCAUUUCUGUUGUAUAUAAAUAGAUUGACAUUUAGAAAGAUUAAUUAUUAUUUUUAAGAA